AAGGCUCUUGGGUUGUAAACCUCUUUUCUCAGGGAAUAAGCAAGUGAAGGUACCUGAGGAAUCAGCAUCGGCUAACUCCGUGCCAGCAGCCGCGGUAAUACGGAGGAUGCAAGCGUUAUCCGGAAUGAUUUGGGCGUAAAGCGUCCGUAAGGUGGCUGUGUGUGUCUAUUGUUAAAGAGUUUGGCUCAACCCAAAUAAAGGGGCGGUAGAAACUACACAGACUAGAGUGCGUUCGGGGCAGAGGGAAUUCCUCGGUGUAGCGGGUGAAAUGCGUAGAGAUCAGGAAGAACACCGGUGGCGAAAGCGCUCUGCUAGGCCGCAACUGACACUGAGGGACGAAAGCUAGGGGAGCGAAUGGGAUUAGAUACCCCAGUAGUCCCUAGCCGUAAACGAUGGAUACUAGGCGUUGAGAGUAUCGACCCUCUCAGUGCCGUAGCUAACGCGUUGUAGUAUCCCGCCUGGGGGAGUACGCACGCAAGUGUGAAACUCAAAAUGAAUUGACGGGGGCCCCGCACAAGCGGUGGAGUAUGUGGUUUAAUUUGAUGCAACGCGAAGAACCUUACCAGGGCUUGACAUGUCUGGAACUCAUGGGGAAACUCGGAGGUGCCUUUGGGAGCCAGAACACAGGUGGUGCAUGGCUGUCGUCAGCUCGUGUUGUGAGAUGUUGGGUUAAGUCCCGCAACGAGCGCAACCCUCGUACUUAGUUGCCGAGCAUUUCGGAUGGGCACUCUAAGGAGACUGCCGGUGACAAACCGGAGGAAGGUGGGGAUGACGUCAAGUCAGCAUGCCCCUUACGUCCUGGGCUACACACGUACUACAUAUGCUACGGACAAAGGGCAGCGAGACUGCGAAGUCAAGCAAAUCUCAUAAACCGUGGCUCAGUUCAGAUCGCAGGCUGCAA
Molecule: ribosomal RNA, 901 nt
Filed under: Westiellopsis sp. Ind20
Lineage: Bacteria; Bacillati; Cyanobacteriota; Cyanophyceae; Nostocales; Hapalosiphonaceae
Description: bacterial SSU rRNA
Rfam family: Bacterial small subunit ribosomal RNA
Source: RNAcentral